Molecule: long non-coding RNA, 454 nt
Organism: Nannospalax galili (Upper Galilee mountains blind mole rat)
Lineage: Eukaryota; Metazoa; Chordata; Mammalia; Rodentia; Spalacidae
Exons: 3
Source: RefSeq, a predicted model, not a curated record
CUUUCUCUUUUUGCUCAGUCACCAAAUCUGCUCCGCCAGCUUGGGCCCUGGGGUGCAGAAGAUAGAGCACCAGUCUUGAGAGAACUGCAGACUUUUCUGUAAGUAAAGGAAGAACCCACAGGCACCACAGCCACCACAGUGGAACCAUUUGACUGAUUGAUGACUGAAGGUUGAUGGUUGUUUCCCAAACUGCUCAGUGCUUUCCUACACCUGUACCUGAUAUUGUACUGCUUCUAAUCCCAAACCCUGACUCUGGAUGUAAAACAAUACAGCACACAUCUCUAAGCCUUGGACUUUGAUCACACAGGCAUCCACAAGUAACUGCUUGACAGCUGAAGAGGCCCAGUCACUCCUGCACAGAAACAAAAGGUAUGUGGAAUGUAAACGACUGGAGGUUCUCACACCUGCUUUUGGUAUCAUCAGCCUUGUUCUUUAGUCACUGUCAGACUUACCA